Camellia sinensis is the source of this 1393-nucleotide non-coding RNA. The record is from RefSeq and is a predicted model, not a curated record. Lineage: Eukaryota; Viridiplantae; Streptophyta; Magnoliopsida; Ericales; Theaceae.
ACCAUAUGCUGUAAUUGCAUUUUGAUUUGUUAAUAAUUUUGGCGGUUAUGCAAUUCUUGUGCAAAGAUCUAAUAACCAAGUUUAAUCCUUGCUCUCAGUGCAGAAGGAAAUAACAUCCUUCCCUCUGUUAGCCUUGUUUUCUCUAGCAUGCUCAUUAUUGCUGGUGUGAGUUAUCCUCCAACAUUUUUGGCUACUCACUAUUUUACCUUCCAAAUUCUUAUUUUCAAUCUGAAAAAUGAUCUUAGUAGAUAGAGAAUCUUGUUGUGUUAACACUCAAGAAUGUGAAUGUAACUACUAUCUAAUCAUUAUUACAGUGCUUUACAUAUGCUUUUGCAAGGCAAUUAAAUGCUUUCCAGACUGGUGAUAUGUUAUUUGGCAUGUAAGAGACUCUGUUUAAAUGUUGUAUAUAGUUGCAAACUAUGUUCAUGUUAAUGUUUACUGCUUUAUUUAGGUGGAAUUCUUAUAUCUUGUGGAACUUCGCUUGGUGUUUUUCUACAGUGGGUUAUCCAGGUUCUUUUCAUUAUUUUCUUUCUGUUAUAGUGUUACAUUAUUCUUGUUCUGUAUUGUGAAUGGACAUGUCAUGUGUGCUUUCAGGUCAUAGUGCUGUGGAGAAGAGACUAUUGUAUGAUUCCAUUAUCAUAGAUGAGCAUUUUAAAGGACAAAGAUGUGCAUGCGACAGGGAAUCUACUGCACAUUGCCAUUUUUAACAUUAGUUACAUAAGAGGCCUUUUUCCUGAGAAAUAUUUCAAUGAGAAGUCUGUUCCUGCCUUAAGGUGUUUAUGAUGCAUUGCAGAAGAAAUACCUAAGGACACUGUUGUUCUGUGUUUGUAAAGGAGUGGAAGGUUCAAUGAUUGAGGAAUAUGCAUUUACUCUAAUUCUGAAAGCCAAGAGGUUUCAAUGAAGAUCAAUUGCACUGUGAUUGAUGAUGCCACUGGUGCUAGAAAGAUGAAUUAUGAGGACUUUUGCCACAUUGCCUAUUUGUGUAUAGAACAAAUAGGCCCUAAAUGUCGACGCUUUUUCAGUUCGUCAAACUUCAUGAAGUUCAAGAAAGAUGAGUCAGGAAGAAUUGCCAUCCUGCCAUUUUUCCUUUAUGUCAUUCGUACGGUUCUGAUGAACUUAACAAAUGACAACCCUGUGUGCUGUCAGCAAAUUGCUGCCUGUGGAGGACAGGGGAAACCUUGUCUUCAUUGAUUGCUGGCCACUUUCCAUCAUUUAGUUCAUCUUUGCCUCCCUUCACCGAUAUAAGAAAUGAUACCUUGUUGUCCAAGUCUUAAGACAUUUGAAAGGGUGUGAUCGGUCGGACUUUAUCUUUUGUAAGACUAGAAUAGUCUCUACAAAUAGUUAGUUUAUUCAUAUGCUUCUAGCGGUUUCUAAAUUAAUUUUUGUUUUCAUU